This is a long non-coding RNA of Hemicordylus capensis (graceful crag lizard), 6471 nucleotides long. RefSeq lists it as uncharacterized. The record is from RefSeq and is a predicted model, not a curated record. The transcript has 3 exons. Lineage: Eukaryota; Metazoa; Chordata; Lepidosauria; Squamata; Cordylidae.
GCAACGGGGGAGCAAGGACAGAAGAAAGAGGUGCAGAAGGAGGAAGAGGAACAAGCAGGAAGGCGCCAGCGGAGGAGACGUGAAAAGAAGCAGGAGGAGACCGGCUCUCCAGGAGCUUAGCAGAAGAAACGGGCAGGCUGUGCUUCCACCGGGCGGACGGCUUCAUUUCGCUCCCUCUCUCGGCCACUGAUCACUCUGCGUGGGGCUGCAGCUGGCCUUGCAGCGUGGCAUUCCUGGUGCUGGACUUCAUGUCUUUGCACUCAGGAGCCCUGACAGGGGUGGGAGUGCGGCCUUCUCAGGCCGCCCUGAAUCUCUCUGCACCGAGUCCCUUGCCAUUGGGUGGGAGGUGGCUUGCUCCUGCUGGACCUGAAGUAUGUGCGCUGAGCCGCCCCUGGAUGGGACUGGGGGUAUUGCUUUUUCGCGCCACUGCUUUCUGUAUGUGCGCUGAGCUGCCCCUGGGUAGGCUGGCCUGGGGGUGUUGCUUCCUCGCGCCGAGCCUUAGAGGUAUGUGCGCUGAGCCGCCCCUGGUCGGGGCUGGGGGCGUUAGCUUUCUCACGCCGAGCUUGAUGCCAUGUGCGCUGAGCCUGCCCCUGGCUGGGCUCAGCUUGGGGGUGUUGCUUCCUCUCGCGCCGAGCCUUCGGGUAUGUGCGCUGAGCCGCCCCGGGCUGGGGCUGGGAGCGUUGCUUUGUGCUGCCAGGCCUUAUGUCUCUGCACUGAGCCGCCCCAGUGAGGGCUGGGGGCGUUGCUUCCUCUCGCCACGAGCUUCACGUCUUUGCUCUGAGAAGCCCCUCAUUUGGCCAGGGGGUGGCUCUCUCCAAGCCUUGCUGCCUGACUUUGCCCUUCAUGCUCCCAGUGGUGUUGAGCUGGCCACUCCGGCCUGCCCACGGAGCAAGCUCGGGACGGUAGAAGUGUGGCCUCCCAGACCUCUUCCAGCAGCAGCAGCAGCCUCUGCUGGCUGAAGGCACACGCCUGACGCUUGGUGUGCUCACGCUCCUCCUUGGCUUGGGCUCUUGCGUGAGCAGGGCUGCUCCUCAAGAAGGCCUUCUGAAGAGGGAAAAGAGUCAAGAGCUGCGAGAAGCUGAUCUCUUGCCUUGGGAGGCAAAGGAGAGAAAGGGCAGAAGAAAGAAGUGCCGCAGGCUGGCGAAAGAGAAGCCGCAAGGAGCAACAGGAGGAGACCUGGACGGGGAAGAAGGAGGCGGAGAAGACUGGCUCUCAAGCAGCUUCACAGAAGGAAGAAGGGGGAGCUUCCGCUCCCACCAGCUGGAGGGCCUCAUUGCUGCCCUUCUCUCUGCUCCGUCUCCCUGAGUAGCCACUGGUUUGGGAGGGGCGUGGACAGAACAGGAUGGACUCGGUGUCCAUCCGCUCAGUGGCCCUUUCUUGAACUGGGCUGCGGCUUUCUCGUGCUGGACUUCAUGUCUCUGCACUUGGGGAGCCCUACAAAUAGUGAGAGGGUGGCCCUCAUAGGGGCCAUCCAAGGGGCAGCCCCUAUUUCAGCUGAGCUGUGGCUUUCUCGGGCUGGACUUUAUGUCUUUGCACUGGGGAGCCCUACGACUGUGGGAAGUGUCUGUAUACUGGAGAACUCCUGAUUUGUCUGGGGGCGUGUUUCUCGUGCUGGACUUCACGUCUCUGCACUGGGGAGCCCUACAAAUAGUGAGAGCGUGGCCCUCGUAGGGGCCGUACACGGAGCAGCCCCCAUUUCGGCUGAGGUGUGGCUUUCUCGUGCUGGACUUCACGUCUUUGCACUGCGGAGCCCUACAAUUGUGGGAGCGUGGCCUCUUUUUGAUUAUUAUUAUUUUGACAUUUCUAGCCCGCUCUUCUUCCCAGGAGCCCAAAGCGGUGUACUGCAUACUUGUUUCCCCCCCGUCCCACAACAACCCUGUGAGUAGGUUAGGCUGAGAGAGAAGCGACUGGCCCAGAGUCACCCAGCUAGUAGCAUGGCUGAAUGGGGAUUUGGACUCGAGUCUCCCCGGUCCUAGUAAACUAGGGAACCCCUGAUUUGGCUGUGGUGCCGGUUUCACGUGCUGGACUUCACGUCUUUGCACUGGGGAGCCCUACAAUGGUAAGAGUAUGGCCAUCGUAGUGGCUGUAUACUGGGGACCCCCGAUUUGGCCGGGGAGCGGCUUUCUCAUGCUGGACUUCACGUCCUGGCCCUGGGGAGCCCCGAAAGCGGUGGGAGUAUGUCCUCCCCAGACGAGCCUGAGUGUCUGUAUGCUGCGUGGCUGCUCAUUUAUCCGCAGGGUGCCGUUCCUCGCUGCGUGACUUCGCCCUUCAUCUUGCGAGUGGUGAUGAGUUGGCAUCUCCCAACUGCCCCGUCCCUAGUCUUCAGCUUGGCGCGCCCUGCCCACGGAGAAAGCCAGGGACGGUGGAAGUGCGGCAUCCAUGACCUCUUCAAGCAGCGUGGUGUGCCGAGGAGCGGGCCCUGCUGGCUGGCUGAAGAAGGCACACGAAGGCAACGGGGGAGCAAGGACAGAAGAAAGAGGUGCAGAAGGAGGAAGAGGAACAAGCAGGAAGGCGCCAGCGGAGGAGACGUGAAAAGAAGCAGGAGGAGACCGGCUCUCCAGGAGCUUAGCAGAAGAAACGGGCAGGCUGUGCUUCCACCGGGCGGACGGCUUCAUUUCGCUCCCUCUCUCGGCCACUGAUCACUCUGCGUGGGGCUGCAGCUGGCCCUGCAGCGUGGCAUUCCUGGUGCUGGACUUCAUGUCUUUGCACUCAGGAGCCCUGACAGGGGUGGGAGUGCGGCCUCCUCAGGCCGCCCUGAAUCUCUCUGCACCGAGUCCCUUGCCAUUGGGUGGGAGGUGGCUUGCUCCUGCUGGACCUGAAGUAUGUGUGCUGAGCCGUCCCUGGAUGGGACUGGGGGUAUUGCUUUUUCGCGCCACUGCUUUCUGUAUGUGCGCUGAGCUGCCCCUGGGUAGGCUGGCCUGGGGGUGUUGCUUCCUCGCGCUGAGCCUUAGAGGUAUGUGCGCUGAGCCGCCCCUGGUCGGGGCUGGGGGCGUUAGCUUUCUCACGCCGAGCUUGAUGCCAUGUGCGCUGAGCCUGCCCCUGGCUGGGCUCAGCUUGGGGGUGUUGCUUCCUCUCGCGCCGAGCCUUCGGGUAUGUGCGCUGAGCCGCCCCGGGCUGGGGCUGGGAGCGUUGCUUUGUGCUGCCAGGCCUUAUGUCUCUGCACUGAGCCGCCCCAGUGAGGGCUGGGGGCGUUGCUUCCUCUCGCCACGAGCUUCACGUCUUUGCUCUGAGAAGCCCCUCAUUUGGCCAGGGGGUGGCUCUCUCCAAGCCUUGCUGCCUGACUUUGCCCUUCAUGCUCCCAGUGGUGUUGAGCUGGCCACUCCGGCCUGCCCACGGAGCAAGCUCGGGACGGUAGAAGUGUGGCCUCCCGGACCUCUUCCAGCAGCAGCAGCCGCCUCUGCUGGCUGAAGGCACACGCCUGACGCUUGGUGUGCUCACGCUCCUCCUUGGCUUGGGCUCUUGCGUGAGCAGGGCUGCUCCUCAAGAAGGCCUUCUGAAGAGGGAAAAGAGUCAAGAGCUGCGAGAAGCUGAUCUCUUGCCAUGGGAGGCAAAGGAGAGAAAGGGCAGAAGAAAGAAGUGCCGCAGGCUGGCGAAAGAGAAGCCGCAAGGAGCAACAGGAGGAGACCUGGACGGGGAAGAAGGAGGCGGAGAAGACUGGCUCUCAAGCAGCUUCACAGAAGGAAGAAGGGGGAGAUUCCGCUCCCACCAGCUGGAGGGCCUCAUUGCUGCCCUUCUCUCUGCUCUGUCUCCCUGAGUAGCCACUGGUUUGGGAGGGGCGUGGACAGAACAGGAUGGACUCGGUGUCCAUCCGCUCAGUGGCCCUUUCUUGAACUGGGCUGCGGCUUUCUCGUGCUGGACUUCAUGUCUCUGCACUUGGGGAGCCCCACAAAUAGUGAGAGGGUGGCCCUCAUAGGGGCCAUCCAAGGGGCAGCCCCUAUUUCAGCUGAGCUGUGGCUUUCUCGGGCUGGACUUUAUGUCUUUGCACUGGGGAGCCCUACAACUGUGGGAGCGUGGCCUUCUUGGUGUCUGUAUACUGGAGAAGCCCGGAUUGGUCUGGGGAGUAGCCUUCUCGUGCUGGACUUUACGUCUUUGCACUGGGGAGCCCUACAAAUAGUGAGAGGGUGGCCCUCAUAGGGGCCAUCCAAGGGGUAGCCCCUAUUUCAGAUGAGCUGUGGCUUUCUCGGGCUGGACUUUAUGUCUUUGCACUGGGGAGCCCUACAAAUAGUGAGAGGGUGGCCCUCAUAGGGGCCAUCCAAGGGGCAGCCCCUAUUUCAGCUGAGCUGUGGCUUUCUCGGGCUGGACUUUAUGUCUUUGCACUGGGGAGCCCUACGACUGUGGGAAGUGUCUGUAUACUGGAGAACUCCUGAUUUGUCUGGGGGCGUGUUUCUCGUGCUGGACUUCACGUCUCUGCACUGGGGAGCCCUACAAAUAGUGAGAGGGUGGCCCUCAUAGGGGCCAUCCAAGGGGCAGCCCCUAUUUCAGCUGAGGUGUGGCUUUCUCGGGCUGGACUUUAUGUCUUUGCACUGGGGAGCCCUACAAAUAGUGAGAGGGUGGCCCUCAUAGGGGCCAUCCAAGGGGCAGCCCCUAUUUCAGCUGAGGUGUGGCUUUCUCGGGCUGGACUUUAUGUCUUUGCACUGGGGAGCCCUACGACUGUGGGAAGUGUCUGUAUACUGGAGAACUCCUGAUUUGUCUGGGGGCGUGUUUCUCGUGCUGGACUUCACGUCUCUGCACUGGGGAGCCCUACAAAUAGUGAGAGGGUGGCCCUCAUAGGGGCCAUCCAAGGGGCAGCCCCUAUUUCAGCUGAGCUGUGGCUUUCUCGUGCUGGACUUUGUCUUUGCACUGGGGAGCCCUACAACUGUGGGAGCAUGGCCUUCUUAGUGUCUGUAUACUGGUGAAGCCCGGAUUUGUCUGGGGGGCGUUUUUCCCGUGCUGGACUUCACGUCUUUGCACUGUCUGUCUUAGUGGCCAUACAGUGGGUUUCGGGUAUCACUUUUUCCAAUUGGAUUUUACAUUUUUUUCUUUGUAUUUUACAUUUCAAUGUCUGGGGGAGCUUCAAUCCUGGUUAUAUGACUUUGCUCUUCUUUUUCUGAAUGGUGAUGAAGCGGUACCUCCGGCCUUGCGUGGUACGACAGUAGGGGUGCGACAUUUCUGACCUCUUCAAGCGGUGUGGUAUGCUGAGCACGCUCUGCUGGCUGAAAGCACACGAGAAUAAGAGAAAGAUUGAAGGAACAACUGCAGAACAAGGAGAAAGAACAUCAGAAAGUCCCAACAGGAGCCCUGAAGACUAACUGGAGAAGUGGGAGGAGAAGACCGGAUAACAAGAAGCAGGAGAGAAGAAACAGGCAGGCUCCCUCCUCGGAGCUGACUGCCUCCUUCACGACUGAGUAGCAAUUCUGUCACAUAGAAAUAUCCCCACAUUGCUGUGAGCCUGUUUCAACCCAAGAUGGCGACCAUCUCCAAAGGACUUCACUUUUUGGUGGCGUCUAUAUAUUGGCACAGCCCUGUGAAUCUGCUUGGCCUGUCAGCUGGUGGGGGUCUCAAAAGAGCGGCAUGCUUGAGGGGCAGUUUUUCUGGCAGUUCAGUCUUCAUGCCUGACCCUGUGUCUCGGCUGCUUCCUGCUCUGAGAAAUCCCCAAGGUACUUGGAGUGUGGUUUUCUUCAUUCCUGGCUUGAUAUCUCUGCUUCAGAUUGCUCAGAGCCUCCACUGAGAUGUCUGGAGAGCCACUGGCCUUGGGUGUGUCCAGGGUUUUAUCCUAGAUGGCUUCUCUGCCCCCCAUUAUUUCUGUGUGCUGCUUGCAAUAUUGUUUAAAUACAAACUUAAAAUAUGUUAGAAACUAAAACAAAAAUAGCUGUUGCAUAGGAUAACAUCUAAAAGGAUAGGAUCAAACCUAAAAAGAAUAAACAAGUGUAGUAUAAUAUAAGUAGGAUAACAUCUAAAAGAUUAGGAUAAAAUCUAAAAAGGUUCAACAAGUGUAGUAUAAUAUAAGACAUACAGAUCUAUUAACUUAAUUAGGAAGGCUAAUAGGAACUAAAAUGAAGCAUUUUCAACGUAGAUUAGAUAUUCUAGACCAACUAGUGUAUUAAAAUAAUAUUCAAAGCAGCAUAUGGGAAUGGUGAGAAAAAGCACUUUGCUACUGAAAGUCUGAAAGGCCAGAACCCAUCCACCACUCGCUCAUGUAGCUCUUCCGUGGCUCCGAGUCUCUUCCUGCUAGCAUCUUACAGACUAUUCCCCCUUUGAUGCAAAGAUGGGUGCUUGGGCAAUUUGAUGUAGAAAUAAAGAUCAAUAUUGUCUUUGUGUAGCUUUGCUUACUGACAGGCUUAUAGGAUGCUGAAGAGGGUAUUUCUGUCAAGCACCCAGAACUGAUUCUUAUUUCAAGUUGUUUUAACCUGUGUUUUUUUGUAAAUGGCCCAGAGCCAUGAGGUUUGGGUGGUCAUAAGCAAAUAUGCUAAAUAAAAAGCUCUCCGUAUUGUC